Sinocyclocheilus rhinocerous is the source of this 147-nucleotide long non-coding RNA. RefSeq lists it as uncharacterized. The record is from RefSeq and is a predicted model, not a curated record. NCBI's taxonomy places the organism in Eukaryota, Metazoa, Chordata, Actinopteri, Cypriniformes, Cyprinidae. The transcript is spliced from 3 exons.
UGAUCAAGAGCUUUGGACAGGGUUCCUCAAAUCUUGUCCUGGACUGCCAAUGCACUGCAGAGUUUUGUGCCAACCCUGAUCAAACGCACCUAUUUUCUAAUGAUCCUGAAGACAUUGAUUAGCAUGCUCAGGUGUGUUUGAUUAGGG